GACGAACGCUGGCGGCGUGCCUAAUACAUGCAAGUAGAACGCUGAAGGAGGAGCUUGCUUCUCCAGAUGAGUUGCGAACGGGUGAGUAACGCGUAGGUAACCUGCCUGGUAGCGGGGGAUAACUAUUGGAAACGAUAGCUAAUACCGCAUAAGAGUAGAUGUCGCAUGACAUUUGCUUAAAAGGUGCAACUGCACCACUACCAGAUGGACCUGCGUUGUAUUAGCUAGUUGGUGAGGUAACGGCUCACCAAGGCAACGAUACAUAGCCGACCUGAGAGGGGGAUCGGCCACACUGGGACUGAGACACGGCCCAGACUCCUACGGGAGGCAGCAGUAGGGAAUCUUCGGCAAUGGACGGAAGUCUGACCGAGCAACGCCGCGUGAGUGAAGAAGGUUUUCGGAUCGUAAAGCUCUGCUGUAAGAGAAGAACGAGUGUGAGAGUGGAAAGUUCACACUGUGACGGUAUCUUACCAGAAAGGGACGGCUAACUACGUG
RNAcentral lists this ribosomal RNA (495 nucleotides) under uncultured bacterium. RNAcentral describes it as "partial 16S ribosomal RNA". It matches the Rfam family "Bacterial small subunit ribosomal RNA", at positions 28 to 507 of the family's 1533-position model. The record is from RNAcentral.